Molecule: ribosomal RNA, 515 nt
Filed under: uncultured bacterium
Lineage: Bacteria
Description: partial 16S ribosomal RNA
Rfam family: Bacterial small subunit ribosomal RNA
Source: RNAcentral
GAUGAACGCUGGCGGCGUGCCUAAUACAUGCAAGUCGAGCGAAUGGAUUAAGAGCUUGCUCUUAUGAAGUUAGCGGCGGACGGGUGAGUAACACGUGGGUAACCUGCCCAUAAGACUGGGAUAACUCCGGGAAACCGGGGCUAAUACCGGAUAACAUUUUGAACUGCAUGGUUCGAAAUUGAAAGGCGGCUUCGGCUGUCACUUAUGGAUGGACCCGCGUCGCAUUAGCUGGUUGGUGAGGUAACGGCUCACCAAGGCAACGAUGCGUAGCCGACCUGAGAGGGUGAUCGGCCACACUGGGACUGAGACACGGCCCAGACUCCUACGGGAGGCAGCAGUAGGGAAUCUUCCGCAAUGGACGAAAGUCUGACGGAGCAACGCCGCGUGAGUGAUGAAGGCUUUCGGGUCGUAAAACUCUGUUGUUAGGGAAGAACAAGUGCUAGUUGAAUAAGCUGGCACCUUGACGGUACCUAACCAGAAAGCCACGGCUAACUACGUGCCAGCCGCCGCCGUAA